Molecule: ribosomal RNA, 451 nt
Filed under: uncultured bacterium
Lineage: Bacteria
Description: bacterial SSU rRNA
Rfam family: Bacterial small subunit ribosomal RNA
Source: RNAcentral
GUGGGGAAUAUUGGGCAAUGGGCGCAAGCCUGACCCAGCGACGCCGCGUGGGUGAUGAAGGCCUUCGGGUCGUAAAGCCCUGUCGGGUGGAAAGAACGGUCGGUGUGCAAAUAGCGCAUCGAUGUGACGGUACCACCGAAGGAAGCACCGGCCAAUUCCGUGCCAGCAGCCGCGGUAAGACGGAAGGUGCAAGCGUUGCUCGGAAUCACUGGGCGUAAAGGGUGCGUAGGCGGCCUGGUAAGUCUGGCGUGAAAGCCCAGGGCUCAGCCCUGGAAGUGCGCUAGAAACUGCGAGGCUGGAGUGCCGGAGGGGAGAGUGGAAUUCCUGGUGUAGCGGUGAAAUGCGUAGAUAUCAGGAGGAAUACCGGUGGCGAAAGCGACUCUCUGGACGGCAACUGACGCUGAGGCACGAAAGCGUGGGGAGCAAACAGGAUUAGAAACCCGGGUAGUCC